This 253-nucleotide ribosomal RNA is filed under the name uncultured bacterium. RNAcentral's name for it is "partial 16S ribosomal RNA". It matches the Rfam family "Bacterial small subunit ribosomal RNA", at positions 524 to 776 of the family's 1533-position model. The record is from RNAcentral.
UACGGGGGGGGCAAGCGUUGUUCGGAAUUACUGGGCGUAAAGGGCUUGUAGGUGGCCAACUAAGUCAGACGUGAAAUCCCUCGGCUUAACCGGGGAACUGCGUCUGAUACUGGUUGGCUUGAAUCCGGGAGAGGGAUGCGGAAUUCCAGGUGUAGCGGUGAAAUGCGUAGAUAUCUGGAGGAACACCGGUGGCGAAGGCGGCAUCCUGGACCGGCAUUGACGCUGAACAGCGAAAGCCAGGGGAGCAAACGGG